Molecule: ribosomal RNA, 492 nt
Filed under: uncultured bacterium
Lineage: Bacteria
Description: partial 16S ribosomal RNA
Rfam family: Bacterial small subunit ribosomal RNA
Source: RNAcentral
AGUGAACGCUGGCGGUAGGCCUAACACAUGCAAGUCGAACGGCAGCACAGUAAGAGCUUGCUCUUACGGGUGGCGAGUGGCGGACGGGUGAGGAAUACAUCGGAAUCUACUUUUUCGUGGGGGAUAACGUAGGGAAACUUACGCUAAUACCGCAUACGACCUACGGGUGAAAGCAGGGGAUCUUCGGACCUUGCGCGAUUGAAUGAGCCGAUGUCGGAUUAGCUAGUUGGCGGGGUAAAGGCCCACCAAGGCGACGAUCCGUAGCUGGUCUGAGAGGAUGACCAGCCACACUGGAACUGAGACACGGUCCAGACUCCUACGGGAGGCAGCAGUGGGGAAUAUUGGACAAUGGGCGCAAGCCUGAUCCAGCCAUACCGCGUGGGGGAAGAAGGCCUUCGGGUUGUAAAGCCCUUUUGUUGGGAAAGAAAAGCAGCAGGUUAAUACCCCGCGGUUCUGACGGUACCCAAAGAAUAAGCACCGGCUAACUUCGUG